This 267-nucleotide long non-coding RNA is filed under the name Lathyrus oleraceus (garden pea). RNAcentral describes it as "Pisum sativum (pea) long non-coding RNA (PSAT_LNC017119)". The record is from RNAcentral. Lineage: Eukaryota; Viridiplantae; Streptophyta; Magnoliopsida; Fabales; Fabaceae.
UAACUAUAUAGAUUUAAGAUUAUUGAUGAUGUUCAAGUAUCCUCUCAAUAUUAUUUAUGUCUAAAUGAUAUUGUGAUAAUCACUAUAUUGAUCCUUAGACGAUCUCUCCACCUAACUAUCAAUAUAGCAAUCUUUAAUGAUUGAUACCAAAGAAGAAUAAUGAAUAAAUCUAUCUCUACAACUUAUUCACUACUUGAAAAUCUAUUUUAGGUCAAGACUCAAAUAAUCUCUUUCAACAACUACUCAAAUCUGAUUUUCAACUUAGGG